GCUGGGCACAGUGGCAUGUGCCUGUAAUCCUGGUGACUUGGGAGGCUGAAGCAGGAGGAUUGCAAGUUCAAGACCAGCCUCAG
Molecule: small RNA, 83 nt
Filed under: Marmota monax (woodchuck)
Lineage: Eukaryota; Metazoa; Chordata; Mammalia; Rodentia; Sciuridae
Source: RNAcentral